UAAGCAGUAAAUGUGGAGCCGUAGCGAAAGCGAGUCUGAAUAGGGCGUUUAGUAUUUGGUCGUAGACCCGAAACCAGGUGAUCUACCCUUGGUCAGGUUGAAGUUCAGGUAACACUGAAUGGAGGACCGAACCGACUUACGUUGAAAAGUGAGCGGAUGAACUGAGGGUAGCGGAGAAAUUCCAAUCGAACCUGGAGAUAGCUGGUUCUCUCCGAAAUAGCUUUAGGGCUAGCCUCAAGUGAUGAUUAUUGGAGGUAGAGCACUGUUUGGACGAGGGGCCCCUCUCGGGUUACCGAAUUCAGACAAACUCCGAAUGCCAAUUAAUUUAACUUGGGAGUCAGAACAUGGGUGAUAAGGUCCGUGUUCGAAAGGGAAACAGCCCAGACCACCAGCUAAGGUCCCAAAAUAUAUGUUAAGUGGAAAAGGAUGUGGCGUUGCCCAGACAACUAGGAUGUUGGCUUAGAAGCAGCCAUCAUUUAAAGAGUGCGUAAUAGCUCACUAGUCGAGUGACACUGCGCCGAAAAUGUACCGGGGCUAAACAUAUUACCGAAGCUGUGGAUUGUCCUUUGGACAAUGGUAGGAGAGCGUUCUAAGGGCGUUGAAGCAUGAUCGUAAGGACAUGUGGAGCGCUUAGAAGUGAGAAUGCCGGUGUGAGUAGCGAAAGACGGGUGAGAAUCCCGUCCACCGAUUGACUAAGGUUUCCAGAGGAAGGCUCGUCCGCUCUGGGUUAGUCGGGUCCUAAGCUGAGGCCGACAGGCGUAGGCGAUGGAUAACAGGUUGAUAUUCCUGUACCACCUAUAAUCGUUUUAAUCGAUGGGGGGACGCAGUAGGAUAGGCGAAGCGUGCGAUUGGAUUGCACGUCUAAGCAGUAAGGCUGAGUAUUAGGCAAAUCCGGUACUCGUUAAGGCUGAGC
Molecule: ribosomal RNA, 913 nt
Filed under: Staphylococcus aureus
Lineage: Bacteria; Bacillati; Bacillota; Bacilli; Caryophanales; Staphylococcaceae
Description: partial 23S ribosomal RNA
Rfam family: Bacterial large subunit ribosomal RNA
Source: RNAcentral